CCCGGGCCUUGUACACACCGCCCGUCACACCAUGGGAGUUGGAGGUACCGGAAACGCCUUUGUAACCCGCAAGGGAGCUAAGCGUUUAUGGUAUGGCCGAUGACUGGGGUG
RNAcentral lists this ribosomal RNA (111 nucleotides) under uncultured bacterium. RNAcentral's name for it is "partial 16S ribosomal RNA". It matches the Rfam family "Bacterial small subunit ribosomal RNA", at positions 1373 to 1482 of the family's 1533-position model. The record is from RNAcentral.